GACGAACGCUGGCGGCGUGCUUAACACAUGCAAGUCGAACGGAAAGGCCCUGCUUGCUGGGUACUCGAGUGGCGAACGGGUGAGUAACACGUGGGUGAUCUGCCCUGCACUUCGGGAUAAGCCUGGGAAACUGGGUCUAAUACCGGAUAGGAGCCAUUUUUAGUGUGAUGGUUGGAAAGUUUUUUCGGUGUAGGAUGAGCUCGCGGCCUAUCAGCUUGUUGGUGGGGUAAUGGCCUACCAAGGCGGCGACGGGUAGCCGGCCUGAGAGUGUGGACGGCCACAUUGGGACUGAGAUACGGCCCAGACUCCUACGGGAGGCAGCAGUGGGGAAUAUUGCACAAUGGGCGCAAGCCUGAUGCAGCGACGCCGCGUGGGGGAUGACGGCCUUCGGGUUGUAAACUCCUUUCGCUAGGGACGAAGCUUUUGUGACGGUACCUAGAUAAGAAGCACCGGCUAACUACGUG
Molecule: ribosomal RNA, 464 nt
Filed under: uncultured bacterium
Lineage: Bacteria
Description: partial 16S ribosomal RNA
Rfam family: Bacterial small subunit ribosomal RNA
Source: RNAcentral